This is a long non-coding RNA of Vigna radiata var. radiata (mung bean), 504 nucleotides long. RefSeq lists it as uncharacterized. The record is from RefSeq and is a predicted model, not a curated record. The transcript has 3 exons. Lineage: Eukaryota; Viridiplantae; Streptophyta; Magnoliopsida; Fabales; Fabaceae.
UAUCUCUCUAAACAGUUUCUUCUUCUCCUAGCUCUAGCCUUCCAUUCCACUGACUCGGUGCAUAUUCUGUUUGGUGGUACCCCUACGACUGUCCCGUAGAGAGCUUCCAAACCAUUCGAUUGGUUUUAUGUUCCGUAGUCGGGUGUCUUUGAAAUUUGUUGUGAGGAGCAUUGUUUAGAGCGUUCCUGUCAAGUUAAACUGUGAAACUUUCCAGUAGGUGAUGAGGUACCCUUGGAGCAGGCGUUGGAGGCUGAGGAAGAUCCAACACCCAGUACUUAGGACGUCUAUUAGUUAUUUCUAUAGAUUGUUAUUUCGGAGAACACUCUUUAGGUCUUUUUAAUGGUUAGUAAUCUUAUAAUUUGGGAAACCUUAGAAAACUUGUACUUAAGUUUCUUUUCUUUUUAAUUCUUUCUAUAUUUUGGAUGACUGUAACAUCAAUCUCUAAACUACCAUUUUACUCUGAGUGUUCUUCUUAUUGGAAUGAUGACAUUUUUAUCAUAUAAG